GGGCCUACCCACAGACCGAUUGACUAUUGAUGGAGAGGCAGGGGGGACAGUAUAUGCAAGAGUAAUUUGGAGUUGGUAUCAGCUCUAGUCAGCUUAAUCAGUGGCUGAAAUACUCCUACAUUC
Molecule: small nucleolar RNA, 123 nt
Organism: Sorex fumeus (smoky shrew)
Lineage: Eukaryota; Metazoa; Chordata; Mammalia; Eulipotyphla; Soricidae
Product: small nucleolar RNA SNORA58
Exons: 1
Source: RefSeq, a predicted model, not a curated record